Molecule: transfer RNA, 74 nt
Filed under: Podarcis lilfordi (Lilford's wall lizard)
Lineage: Eukaryota; Metazoa; Chordata; Lepidosauria; Squamata; Lacertidae
Rfam family: tRNA
About the family: Transfer RNA (tRNA) molecules are approximately 80 nucleotides in length. Their secondary structure includes four short double-helical elements and three loops (D, anti-codon, and T loops).
Source: Rfam by way of RNAcentral
GCCUGGAUAGCUCAGUUGGUUAGAGCAUGGUGCUGAUAACACCAAGGUUGCCGGUUCGAUUCCCAUACUGGGCA